RNAcentral lists this ribosomal RNA (547 nucleotides) under uncultured bacterium. RNAcentral describes it as "bacterial SSU rRNA". It matches the Rfam family "Bacterial small subunit ribosomal RNA", at positions 8 to 546 of the family's 1533-position model. The record is from RNAcentral.
AGAGUUUGAUCAUGGCUCAGGAUGAACGCUAGCGGCAGGCCUAACACAUGCAAGUCGAGGGGUAACAUAGGAAAGCUUGCUUUUCUGAUGACGACCGGCGCACGGGUGCGUAACGCGUAUACAACCUACCUUUUAGCGGGGAAUAGCCCAGGGAAACUUGGAUUAAUGCCCCAUAGUAUAUAGACUUCUCCUGAAGUUUAUAUUAAACAUUUAUGGCUAUUAGAUGGGUAUGCGUCCUAUUAGUUAGUUGGUAAGGUAACGGCUUACCAAGGCAGCGAUAGGUAGGGGUCCUGAGAGGGAGAUCCCCCACACUGGUACUGAGACACGGACCAGACUCCUACGGGAGGCAGCAGUGAGGAAUAUUGGACAAUGGGCGAGAGCCUGAUCCAGCCAUGCCGCGUGCAGGAAGACUGCCCUAUGGGUUGUAAACUGCUUUUACAGAGGAAGAACCACCCCCACGUGUGGGGGUUUGACGGUACUCUGCGAAUAAGGAUCGGCUAACUCCGUGCCAGCAGCCGCGGUAAUACGGAGGAUCCAAGCGUUAUCC